RNAcentral lists this ribosomal RNA (460 nucleotides) under uncultured bacterium. Its description in RNAcentral is "partial 16S ribosomal RNA". It matches the Rfam family "Bacterial small subunit ribosomal RNA", at positions 338 to 795 of the family's 1533-position model. The record is from RNAcentral.
CCUACGGGUGGCAGCAGUGAGGAAUAUUGGUCAAUGGACGAGAGUCUGAACCAGCCAAGUAGCGUGAAGGAUGACUGCCCUAUGGGUUGUAAACUUCUUUUAUAUGGGAAUAAAAUGUUCCACGUGUGGGAUUUUGUAUGUACCAUAUGAAUAAGGAUCGGCUAACUCCGUGCCAGCAGCCGCGGUAAUACGGAGGAUCCGAGCGUUAUCCGGAUUUAUUGGGUUUAAAGGGAGCGUAGGUGGAUUGUUAAGUCAGUUGUGAAAGUUUGCGGCUCAACCGUAAAACUGCAGUUGAAACUGGCAGUCUUGAGUACAGUAGAGGUGGGCGGAAUGCGUGGUGUAGCGGUGAAAUGCUUAGAUAUCACGAAGAACUCCGAUUGCGAAGGCAGUUCACUGGACUGCAACUGACACUGAGGCUCGAAAGUGUGGGUAUCAAACAGGAUUAGAUACCCCUGUAGUC